RNAcentral lists this ribosomal RNA (102 nucleotides) under uncultured bacterium. RNAcentral's name for it is "partial 16S ribosomal RNA". It matches the Rfam family "Bacterial small subunit ribosomal RNA", at positions 1380 to 1482 of the family's 1533-position model. The record is from RNAcentral.
CUUGUACACACCGCCCGUCACACCAUGGGAGUGGGUUUCACCAGAAGUAGGUAGCCUAACCGCAAGGGGGCGCUUACCACGGUGAGAUUCAUGACUGGGGUG